This 484-nucleotide ribosomal RNA is filed under the name uncultured bacterium. Its description in RNAcentral is "partial 16S ribosomal RNA". It matches the Rfam family "Bacterial small subunit ribosomal RNA", at positions 30 to 507 of the family's 1533-position model. The record is from RNAcentral.
AUUGAACGCUAGCGGGAUGCUUUACACAUGCAAGUCGAACGGCAGCGCGGACUUCGGUCCGGCGGCGAGAGGCGAACGGGUGAGUAAUGUAUCGGAACGUGCCCAGUAGCGGGGGAUAACUACGCGAAAGCGUAGCUAAUACCGCAUACGCCCUACGGGGGAAAGCAGGGGAUCGUAAGACCUUGCACUAUUGGAGCGGCCGAUAUCGGAUUAGCUAGUUGGUGAGGUAACGGCUCACCAAGGCGACGAUCCGUAGCUGGUUUGAGAGGACGACCAGCCACACUGGGACUGAGACACGGCCCAGACUCCUACGGGAGGCAGCAGUGGGGAAUUUUGGACAAUGGGGGCAACCCUGAUCCAGCCAUCCCGCGUGUGCGAUGAAGGCCUUCGGGUUGUAAAGCACUUUUGGCAGGAAAGAAACGUCGCGGGCUAAUACCCCGUGGAACUGACGGUACCUGCAGAAUAAGCACCGGCUAACUACGUG